This 226-nucleotide ribosomal RNA is filed under the name uncultured bacterium. RNAcentral describes it as "partial 16S ribosomal RNA". It matches the Rfam family "Bacterial small subunit ribosomal RNA", at positions 524 to 749 of the family's 1533-position model. The record is from RNAcentral.
UACGUAGGGGGCAAGCGUUGUCCGGAUUUAUUGGGCGUAAAGAGCGUGUAGGCGGCCACACAGGUCAGCUGUGAAAACUCGAGGCUCAACCUCGAGACGUCGGUUGAAACCGUAUGGCUAGAGUCCGGAAGAGGAGAGUGGAAUUCCCGGUGUAGCGGUGAAAUGCGCAGAUAUCGGGAAGAACACCCGUGGCGAAGGCGGCUCACUGGACCAUAACUGACGCUGA